Molecule: long non-coding RNA, 1080 nt
Organism: Gasterosteus aculeatus aculeatus (three-spined stickleback)
Lineage: Eukaryota; Metazoa; Chordata; Actinopteri; Perciformes; Gasterosteidae
Source: Ensembl
GAGACGGUUCCCUGGAUGAUAAGAGUGGACUUGUUGAAGCUACAGGUGACAGUCGGCCACAGACGCUCAGUGAAGAACCAACAGCUGAUGGUGGACCUGGAAUUAGUAUCAACUAUAUCGUAGAAAUGAACAGAACAUACCAAAAAAAACAUCCAGAUAAAUGUUGCCAUCCGGAUGGAGUGAAUGUGAUUGUGGUUGGAUGAGAAGUGUUGGGAGCGGCUAGGGGGUCGUAUUAGGUUACUAGCAAAUGAGGAUCUAACUUAUGGACAUUAAUAGAAUUAUUACUAAUCACUAAGAUACUUCUCAGAAUGAAUAAAUAACGGGGCACCACCCUGAGCUAACAGGGACUAAUAACCAAUACUAUAAAUCAAGUCUCAUAAUUGAUAUUCACUCCUUGAGGGUGAAGAUGUUGGAAGGAGUUAAGUUCGAGCACUGGCGAUGUAUGUCAACGGUCACCAUAUAAAUGCACAAGUAAACACAGGAAAACGGUUCUUUAAAGUAUAACAGGGUUUAUUAACUCACAGGAACACCGAUCAAGAUCACCUAUAACUGCAACCAACAAUCCCCAUAACACUUAUUUUAAACCUACUCACUAAACAAGCAAUCAAAACCAGAGUGUGUGUGUGUGUGUGGGGUCCAAACUUUUUUCACUGAGGGCCACAGACAGAAAAAUAUGCGAAAGGUUGAGCCGCUCACUAAAGUUAAGGUAUAUCACCACUAGUGUAUUAACAGUAAUACAAAUCAAUCAAUCAAUCAAAUGUAGGUAAAUUAUGCUUGAUAAAUUAUUAUACUUACAGAAAAAACUGCAUACAUCACAUCUUUCUAUGUAUGGGUUUUCAUUUAUCUAUUUUCAAAUAAACUGCAGCCUCAAAUUGCUUCUUCGUCAGGAUGGGGACCCCCUUCACAGCCCCGUAUAAAGAGGGAAGGCUUUAUUUAACCUACUUAUGCAAAUCAUUUAUCAGCUAACCUGUUUUAGAAAAUCAACUUUAAUUGACUGCAUUUAUUAAGUAAUUGGGCUUUUGAACACAUGAAUACUGUGUAAUAUAUUUGAACUCGCCUACAAUGGGAACAGUGUUGCAC